Tupaia belangeri (northern tree shrew) is the source of this 116-nucleotide ribosomal RNA. The record is from Ensembl. NCBI's taxonomy places the organism in Eukaryota, Metazoa, Chordata, Mammalia, Scandentia, Tupaiidae.
GUCUACAGCCAUACCACCCUGAACAUGCCCAGUCUCAUCUGAUCUUGGAAGCUAAGCAGGAUCAUGCCUGGUUAGUAUUUGGAUGGGAGACCUUUCAUGUUCUUAACUGCUAUUCU